UAAAAACCGGGACAUUCAGUUAGAGAAAUCUAUUGUAUUGGUUUUUUUCUCUUCGUCUUCCUCCAAGAUCCCUCCUUUAUCGGUUUUCAGCUAACCAGACUCAGAUGCGGCAGUUUGCGGUGGUUUUGUAUCGUCGUAGCAAAAUUAAGCCGGAGAGAAUCUCAGUCAAAGACUCCGAAAGAGAUAAAAGAGGUGAGUUUUUAAGUGAUGUUCAGAUAAACUCUAUGCAAACAAACUUGGAAUGGUUGAAAAAGGAAUCUUGAUGCUUUGUGUGUUUUAGUAGACACAACUGUCUUCAUAGAGUCCUUAUGAAGUGUACAAACUCUUCUAGCGAGUUGUGUGAAGAGCCUCCACUUUUAACAGAGGCUCUAAGUUGCUCUUUUAAACUGAAAGCUCUCUUCCUCAUCUCCUCUCCUUCUUCGUCAACCAUUAACCUCUUCACAGCUCUCUCGACCACUCCUCUGUCUAGCUCACCCUCCACUUGAAUCCCAAUUUUCCAUACACACUCCAAGUAUCUAGCGUUCACCUUUUGAUCACCCGAAAAUGGCCUGCAGAUCAUUGGAACUCCUUGGCCGAUGCUUUCUAGUGUCGAGUUCCAUCCACAAUGGCUCCAAAACCCUCCUACUGCAGGAUGAGAAAGUACUUCCUUCUGUGGAGCCCAUUUCACAAUGUAACCUCGGUCCAAAACCAUCUUACUAAACUCUUCAGGCAUGGACUCUAUCCACUCGGAACCAGCUCUUGUUCUCUUCAAGCAGACUUGUAGGAGCUGAGGCCACCAUGUGAAGAGGGCCUAUAGGAUACACUGGAAUUUGUAGCUGUUGUUGUUGCAGAAAAGACAGAGAUGAGCUCUCUAGACAGCUCGCAGUGUUGAUUAUCACCGAGGAAGCUGUCCGUUUGUCAACUGUAUUCCUAUACACCUCCAUUAUGCUCUCUAAUGAUGCAAACCGUGAAACUGGAAAGUCUUUAUAUCUCAAGGGAUAAAACUCCGGAACUAGCUCUUCUUGUUGUCCUUUAGUUUCUGCAAAAAAGGUCAAAAACAAUGCUGUUUCAAUCUUAUAGCCACUCGCGGAAACCACGAAACAGAGAGUUUUAGAGUACCUUUCAAGGGAGCUUGGACAUUGUUUGCAUAUAGUUUGUCAAAUACAGAGCGGCAAGCGAAAGCCGUGGCACUUGUUGUGCUGAAAAUGAUGUUUGGAAGCUUACACUCUUUGGCUGCAGCUUCAGCAAAGUACAUGAACUCAUCGUAGAUGACACAUGAGAUCUCAUUACUUUGUUGCAGCACCAACUGACCCAAACAGUCCUUGAAGCUCACCUUACACUCUUUGUUGAGCUUAAACAGAAACUGUAUUGGUCCGAGAUUCUUGAAAUCAGACUCUGGUAAGCUUUCUGGAAUGGUGACGAACUGAAAAUCAUGAGUGAAGUCAUCUGAAGGGCUAAAGUAAUUGAACUUAGUCUGAACAACUGUGAUCGAGAAACCCUUUAAGUGAAGGGUUUUGGCAAGUUGCAUCAUUGGAGAUAUAUGUCCUUGUGCUGGAAAUGGAACCAACACUACGCUUCUCCUUGCAGGCUUUUCCUCCAUUCCCAAAACCUGCAUGAACUACUAAUUAAAAGUAUCCUGCUCAGCUUCGUGGUUCGCGGUUUCGAUCACUUCGGUAACCGAUAUAUAAAGUAUCUGACUCUCGAACGUUUUGUUGGCUCUCUUCGUCACAACAUGUGAAUCAUGUGGUGGAUGGUGUUACAUUUCUUUAUCUUGUUAGAGAGUGGUAACCAAAGAAAAGCAAAAAUGCUAUUGUCUUCUUGGUUCUCUUGCCGCAUUUCGCUUCAUGUCAAAAGAGGCUUCAAACAGAAAAAAUUGUCUUUUUCUGGUGCAGCAAUCUAUAUUGAGAAACGUGCCAAAGGAGAUAAACUCGUGUUUGAUUUGAAUUGCAUCAUAUUUGCAUUACAAAAUAGAACACGUACACUUUACUCUCUAAGUUUGGCAUGUUCCAUACAAUUCAAUGAUAGGAAUAUCAGGUUCUCACACUUGUGUACAUUGAUUCAUUCAUGUUGCGUUUUGUCCCUAACAGUUUAGUUAUUGCGUG
Molecule: long non-coding RNA, 2081 nt
Filed under: Arabidopsis thaliana (thale cress)
Lineage: Eukaryota; Viridiplantae; Streptophyta; Magnoliopsida; Brassicales; Brassicaceae
Description: ncRNA (AT3G46658)
Source: RNAcentral